GUCUAGGGCCAUACCACCCUGAACGCGUGUGAUCUUGUCUGAUCUCAGAAGAUAAGCAGGGUCGGGCCUGGUUAAUACUUGGAUGGGAGAAAAAAAGCAUUUUAUAGU
RNAcentral lists this ribosomal RNA (108 nucleotides) under Neogale vison (American mink). Lineage: Eukaryota; Metazoa; Chordata; Mammalia; Carnivora; Mustelidae. The record is from RNAcentral.